RNAcentral lists this long non-coding RNA (3483 nucleotides) under Homo sapiens (human). RNAcentral's name for it is "HSALNT0399131". The record is from RNAcentral. Lineage: Eukaryota; Metazoa; Chordata; Mammalia; Primates; Hominidae.
AGAACACAUUCAGUCAGGGCAGAUGUCUAUACAAAGUGGAGUGGAACAUCAGGAAAAGCUCCAUAUGGAUUCAUGGAGCUAAGGGAGGAGGCCAUUCCUGUCAUUCCAGUUUUAGAAGCUCCACAUCGAAGACGAGAGUGGCAUGUGGUGGGAUGAUGCCUGGGUGCCCAGUGGCACCAUAGGCAUAAUCUGGAGAUAUAGUCAGUUUGGCUCUCUGACCCACACUCAUCUGUGAAAAGAACAAGGAAGACAGACUCAGCUGGACACAUGCCCCAACUGUCUCUGUAAGAAAAAGAGCUGUUUACCUAGGUGUUCCUUGGCCAGGAUGGUAUUGACUUUCCAGUGACUUUGCAGCUGCCCAGGCAUCACCACCUCCUUGUGCAGGACUUGGAGGUUGGCAGUCAUAUUCCAUCACCCCUGCAUCUCACUCCAAGAAGCCCAAUGGCAGUUCAAAACCCCUCCUGACUCUCAGAACGGUCAGGCCCUCAACCUUUCUACGCAAGUCUUAAUGACUAAUGCUAGGCAGGUAACAUUCCAGAUGUCUCACCACCUAGUCCCCUUCAGUGAUCUGUCACUUAAAGGACAUGUUAAGUGCCAUCUAUGCUCUUCUUGAAAAAGGAAUACUCAACUUUGCUUUAAAAAAAUAUAUACACAGGAAGUAAUACUUGAGGGUAGUCUAUUUUUUCUGUAUUUUUUCUAUUUAUACUCUUUUACCCAUAUAGGAAAACUUCAAAAAAGACAAUAUGAUUUUCUGGGCUACAAAAUAGCAUUUACUGAAUACCAUUUGUGAAAAUAUUGAUAUGCCUACAACAGAAAACAUCUUUGGAAGGACAUACCAGACAUUUGCUGUGAGGAGAACAGUAUGGAUAGUGAGUGACCAGUAAGGAGAGAUUUCUACUUUAAAAAAUAUAUUUGUGUAUAUUUUCAGUUUCAAAUUAAAUACACAAAUAAGUAUAAAAUAUCUACUUUCUGAACAGUGAGCAGGUUCUCUGCAGUAUUUCCAUCCUUUGACUUAUCUCUGCUUUUGGUCUCCAUGUGUAUGUUCCCGACUUUCCAACUCCACCAGACAGAGGAUGAAUAAAGAGGAAGCUCCAGGCUGUGAAGCGUCUAGUCCUUGCUCCCCUCAGAAGCUGGGACAUGUUGGACCAAGGUGGUAAGGAUAGUGAGGUAUGGCUUUACCUUGUACAAUUCAAAACAAUCAUAUUCCUUGACUCAGCAAUUCUAUUUCCAGAAUAUUCUGCUAACAACUCAAAAGUCCAUCACAGAAGGAGUGGUUUCAUAGGCAUAUCCACACCAGGGAUUAGUCAUGAGAAAUCAUAUAGUGGUGGCUUUAAAUGUAUUAACAUGAAAAGAUGUCCAAGAUGGAUGAAAGAAAGCUGCCAAAAUGGUCCUUGUGGCAGGCAGGACUCCACGCCUGCAAACAUGUAAAACCAAAACAAUAUCAAAAGGAAAGGAAAAGGGUCACAAGUCAAUCUCCCCUUCUUCCUGUGUUUUUAACUCACUUGGUGAAAAAAUAUGCUAUGAAGAAUUUAAAAGAUAUUUUAUGUAGAUCUCAAACUACCCAGACUUCUCACAAAUGACAGGGCUGUGACUGACCCCAAAAUACCAGUUAAAGGGGGAGUCAGGCAUCUGUCCAAUACUCGACCAUGCCUCUCCAAGCCUGGGAAGUGAAGUAGGCCGAUAACACUAUCUCGAUGGCAGAUACAGCACUCAGUACAUACAACGCAGUGAUUGUUCCAAUGCUGGAGCAGUCACAGAAGAUGGGUUGUGGUAUGAACAAUGGCUGGCAUGAAAGAUGGGGGAUGGGCUACAGAUCCAAGAGCCAGACAGACUAGGGAGACAGAGGCAAAAAGCUAUGGUUGGCAAGGUUUCCCAAGGGAAGUAAACUACAAAGCCUCUUCCUCACACUGCCAACCCUCUGCCCUGCAGGAACAGAAACCCAGACACCUGGGAGUGGGAUGGCUUCAAGUUCCUGAAAGUUGAGCAGUUUAUUUGGAGAUAAAUCAGUGAUAUUUUAUAGAGGAAGUAGAGCAAUGUGUAUUCUGGAAAAGAGAGAGACAGAAAUCUGUCUUUUCAUCUUGGUUAAAUUUCUAAUUCUCCUGGGUGAGAGGGAAGCAGACUAAUUACCCAUCAUGCAGAGCCUAAUUAUAAAGUUCCUUGGGUCUCAGGUCACUGAAAAACAUCCCUUUACCUGGUUAGAGCCAAGAAAAAAUUCCUAGGUUUGAUGGAAAGACAGAAUCCAACUAAAAUUUGGCAACCCUGGGUCCCUAUUGUCUCCUGGGAAUUUUGUAGUGUUGGCAGAACAAAAGCUGUUUCCACAAAUGGGGAGGAAAGAGAUUAGGAAACACACUCAAGACAAACGAAAUGACUUUCUCCAUAAGUAUGACGUCUCAGAAGUGGUCUCACACAAUAUGGGUAAUAGAUAAAUACAAAUUAAAACCACUGAUAUCAUGUUUUACUCUUAUUGUCCAGAGGCCAAAGAUUUAACAAUAUACUGUGAUGCUGGGGCUGGGAGGAGAUUGCACCUUUAUAGCCUGGUGGUGGCAGUCCAGAGUGCAACCCCUAGAGAUGGUAACUUGACAAGACCUCUCAAAAACACUACACACAGCUUUUGAGCCCCUCAUCCCACUUCUGAGAGUAAGUCCUAUGGCAACAUGUGCACACGUGGAAAAUGAAGUCUGUACAAGGUGAGUUACUGCAGCAUUGUUUAUAAUAGCAAAAUACUGGAAAUGACUCAAAUACUCAUUAAUAGGGCACUAGCCAAGUAAAUUAUAGCACACUUACAUAAACGAAUACUAGGCAGCUGUAACAGAGCUUACUCCUCAUUUUUUCUUUCUUUUUUGAAAUGGAGUUUCGCUCUCGUCAUCCAGGCUGGAGCGCAAUGGCACAAUCUUGGCUCACUACAACCUCCGCCUGCUGGGUUCAAGUGAUUCUCCUGCCUCGGCCUCCCAAGUAGCUGGGAUUACAGGCACCUGCCACCACGCCCGGCUAAUUUUUGUAUUUUUAAUGGAGAUGGGGUUUCGCCAUGUUGGCCAGGCUGGUCUCGAACUCCGGACCUCAGGUGAUCCAUCCAUCUUGGCCUCCCAAAGUGCUGGGAUUACAGGAACUCCUGACCUCAGGUGAUCCACCCAUCUUGGCCUCCCAAAGUGCUGGAAUUACAGGCAUGAGCCACCGCGCCCAGCCUACUCCUCUUUUAUGUAGUGGUAUUGCAAGUGUCAAAAAUGCAUUAAGUGAAAAAGUAAACUGCAAAACAGUAUGUGUGUGAAAGCAAGAAAAAAGUUAUGUUUUUAUAUGUGCUUAAACCACAGUACAAGAAACAUUAACAACAGGAGCUUCUUGUGGGGGUAUUGGUCAGAUGGGAUGGCAUGAGGGUGAGACUUUUCACUUUUUUUAUUUUUGAACCGUAUAAAUAUGCCACCUAUAAAAAAAUAUAAAAGGUAAAUACUAGAAAGCAAAACAAAACAAAUGAGAGAGCAUACCUGG